CGUCGGAUCAAGGUAGGUUUUCUUCUUCUUCCUUUCUGUCUAUCUAGCUAUUUAGAUGAGAUUUGGACCGACGAAUCACUGAAAAAAUCAUCCGAAAUAGGGUGCCCUGUUUUGACCCCUUUUUCUUCCAAGUUUUGCUACCGUUGGCCACCGUUGCCGACAAUGACUGUGACUGAGAGCAUCCAUGGCCACCUCCACCUAGGGCUAAGCCACUAUGGGCUACCACCUCCUCUAAUCGAAGGGAAAAGGGGGAGGUGGACUCUCCCCUAUUUGGGAAAGAAGAAAAAAUCUCUCUCUCUCUCUCUCUU
This 308-nucleotide long non-coding RNA is filed under the name Phoenix dactylifera (date palm). RNAcentral describes it as "long non-coding RNA (PDAC_LNC005783)". Lineage: Eukaryota; Viridiplantae; Streptophyta; Magnoliopsida; Arecales; Arecaceae. The record is from RNAcentral.